CAUGCACUGGAUGUCGAUGCGUGGGACAACAUUUCUCGGCCACGAUUAUUUCGAUCCUACAACACUCUACUUCCUGGCAAGCCACGCAUUCCCCGGCGACGGCAAUGCCCUCCUCGCCGGUUGCCCCCGGUCGACGCCGAAUCUCCUCAUCCAGCGUCGCCCGGCUGCCCACCCCUGCCAUCCUGCCGAAAUUAGAUCCGGCGGCCGCCGAUCCAGUCGAACAGCCGGGAGCAGGACACAAUGCGCGCGAUUCCUGUCCGUCGUCAGUCCGUGGACGCCGUGGAGAAGGCCAAUUCCAGCCUCCCCAUGGGCUGCGGCGCUUCGCUGCGUAGGGCCACCUCCCCCUUCGACGAGCUCCAACAGUUUGACUGCGGUCCGCGCUGGUCUGUCUCCUCUGCUACGACGGCAUUACGAUUGAAAAUUCCAAAGGAUAAUGGUCCGGUCUCCUCUACGGCGUCGGUGCCAUAGUUCCCUAGCAGUUAGCACCUUCGCUCCAGGCAUUGGUGAGUCACCUUAUUGCUGAGGAUGUAUCUCUGGAAGUUGAAUGUGAUGCAAAGUUUGCAGUACGCAAUGUUACCAGCUGCUGGGACAAUACUCUUCCGGUUAGUGUUGUGAACCCUGCGCCCACAUUCAAUCAGCAGGUGCGAGAUAGUCAGAACGAUAUAUUAUGUUUGAUUUUCGCUGCUUUGUUCUUUUUUGUUUGUACUUGCAGAUCUAUUCUCCUGGUAGCUCUUCUAUUGCUUCUUGGAACUGAUCUUGAUGUUAGUGAUGUAUAGACCCUUUUACUGUAUAUUCCCACUGUAUGAGGGGUUUCCUGCAUAUUAACCAUGUACAUGUAUUGUCCUUUGGCU
Molecule: long non-coding RNA, 851 nt
Organism: Lolium perenne
Lineage: Eukaryota; Viridiplantae; Streptophyta; Magnoliopsida; Poales; Poaceae
Source: RefSeq, a predicted model, not a curated record